UUGUGGCCACUAUCCCUCCAACCGACUACGACAAAAGAGACACAUACACGGACUCUAGGAGAAUUACGCAAAAGGAUGCUAGCUAGAUAACGAUAGAGUAAACCACACACAAGAUGCUAGUUAGAAUAUGUAAAAGGGUGUACAAAGUAAACAAGAGAUCGGGAGGCACAAACUCCCGGCGGAAAAACCUGAAAGUAAGCUUUGAUGCGCCCAGGUCAACUACCGCCAACUUCUACUCGUUUUGGCCGAUGUGGCUUUGCUCCUCACUUCCAAUGCAAAAAUCUCGCCUCGUUCGCCACCUCUAAUACCUACAAAUCACACACAAAAAGGAGGGGGAGAGCAAGAGAGAGCGUCAGAAGAGAGAGAGAAGUGGGUGGACUUACCGGGGAAGUCGCUGGAGAUAGGUGUCUCCGGCAAGGGGGUGGGGAAAAUAUAGGGAAAAAGUGGAGAACUACACACAAUUCACCAAGUUCUACCGUGGUACCACAAAAAGCACAAAUAAAAGUUGAGUCUUACCGUAGUUCAAUUUAAUAAAACAUAACUAAUUAGAAAUUUGAAUCUUAGCGUAGUUUCACAAAUAAAAAUUUAAUCUUGAGUUAAAAGAAUUAAUACACAACAAAAUUGGUAACGUCUAAAUAGGUGUAAAACAAAACCUUAACAAAUUUUUUGGGAAAAGAAAAUAUAAAUUGUAUAACGUUAAAUCCAGAAGGACAGAUCUUAGAAAAACUUGAAAAGGAACAAUCCUUAGAAUACCUUGAAAAAGAAUAGAUCGAGCUUAAAUAUAAAAAUUAUAUUUCAAUCUGUUUAUUCACGUAAAUAGCCUAAAAAGCUAAAAUCCCAAAUACUGCAGAGAAGAGUAAAGAAGGAGCGACGCCGGUGGUGGGACGUUCGCCGGAAAAAAAUACGUCGCUAGUGGUUAAGAAAGGGAGACAAGAAGAGGGGAGAGAAAGAUAAACGGGCUAGGAGGGAGAAUAGGGAGAGAGGAGAGAGAGGGAGGAGGGGGUGACGCUUACCUGGCCUGCUCGUUGUAGGUGCCGGCACUGGAGGGAUUUUCCGGAAGAGGUGACCUUAAGAUUAGAAGAGAAAAGGUAGCGUUAGUCGUGAGGAAGAGAGACAAGAUAAAAAAAGGAGGGGGGGGGGGGCUUGAUCCCCGAAAAUAACAUUACGUCAACUGCACAUCUAAAUUAACUUAAGCACGGAAAUACACUACAUUUUCAUACAUUUUUAUAAAGAAUAGUAUGUAGCUUAUUCUUUUUGAAACACUUGAAAUAUUUAUUCCCUCCGUUUCAUAUUGUUUGAGGUAGUUUGACUCGGCACGGAGUUUAAGAAAAAAAAAGACUUUUAAAACUUGUGGUCAUGAAGAUUAAGGGGUAAAAGGUUUGUCGGGCCAUACCAUUUGUGUGGCUAUAAAAGCUUAUUACUAAGGGCAACAAUAACAACAACAACUACCCAGUGUAUUCUCACCAGGUGGGGUCUGGUAAAAAGGGCAAAAAGGGUAAAAUGAAGCGUUUAAAGUUAAAUUAUUUUCAAAUUUAGAAAUAUGUCAUUCAUUUUAGAACAAACUAAAAAGAAAAGUAACUCAAAUAAUAUGAAAUGGAGGAAGUAGUAGAUUUGGAAAUGUGAACUUGGGAGGAACUAUAGACUUACAGUAUUUGGGUACUAGACUAGAUGCUGCAGGGGAUACGUAAAGGUGAGGGAAAAAGAAAAACCAAAAAAAGAAUGGCAAAUCCCUACGUGCACAGUGGUCAUCACUAGUUAAGGAUACUCGUGUAAACAUUGAAACUUCAGUUCGUGUUUUCAGGUUGUGCCUUAAAGUGUAAAGUUAACUUUUGUGCAAUAAUAAGAAUUCACCUAAAUAAUCAUCCAUUCAACCUUUUAAAUGAAAAUAAAUGUACUCCGUACUCCUAUAAUAUAUGCAUUAUAUUCUUGUGUAAUAUAUGUAUAUAUUAUGUAUAAUAAUACUAAUUAGAAAAGAUAAUUAAACAGUGAAUCCAAACGGCUAUUUGUAAGCAGAUCCCUACUUUAACCCUUGGUAAACCUAACAACGUAGUCAUAACUGGUACUAGCACAGUGGAGCCUACUAGCUUUAAUUUCAAUGGAAAUGGGAUAGUGUCUUGUCCUAUAGUUUUCUGAACCAGGAGCAGUUAUAUAUAUUUAGAUGAAGGAUGAGUUUAAGGAUGUUCCUUUAUAUGCUACACAAAAAACACCAUAUAUCUUCAAAGGGAAAGUCAUAAUUUAAUGCAUAUAACUGACCAUUACUCGAUCGUUUCAAAAUUAUACUCUUCAAGGAAAUCUAUUUACUUUUUGGUCCGUUCAAAAAAGAAUAACCCUUUCUGAUUUGGUAACAAUAUAGUUUAAACUUACAAUUCUAUCGUUAAAGAAAAGUUUUUAUAACCACACAAACACUCUAGCCCCUUUUUGACUCGUUUAGGACAACAAAUUCUAAAAGUUUAUAAUUUUUCUUAAAUUUCAUGCUCAAUCAAACAAAUUUACGUAAAUUAAAACGGAAAAAGUACUCUCAAUAAGAGGCAAGAGCAAAGGCAAAAAGCUUCAAUACUUAUUUGUUUUGCUAGCUAUAAGGUAGUUUAGGUUGACAAGAGGGGUUGCUCUGAUGGUAAGCAACCCCCACUUCCAAUCGAGAGGUUGUGAGUUCGAGAGUCCCCAAGAGCAAGGUGAGAAGUUCUUGGAGGGAAGGAUGUCGGGGGUCUAUUUGGAAACAGCCUCUCCACCUAAGGGCAGGGAUAAAAUCUGCGUACACACUACCUUCCCCAGACCCUACUAAAUGGAAUUAUGCUAGAUGGUUGUUGUUUAGCUAUAGGGUGGUUUCCUUGUCUGUAUUGGUUAUUGAAUGGUCUAAAGCUACAAAUAUGUUCUCGACUACCGAGGGUGUUUUAUUUUAGAGCGAUGAAGACAACGCGGCGGGCCUAGAUCGUCCCCCGUCAAAGCUAGGGACGCAAGAGGUUCAUGCGAAUUUCUUUUGUUACAUUCUAUAUGUAAGACUAAAAUUAUUUUUUUAUGUAUAUAUAAUAUAGAUAUUAAAUUCUAAUUGACUUCUUCACGUAUUUAUUUCAAUAUUUUUAAUCUUAAUAGUAAAAAUCAUGGUUUUGUCGCUGUCUUUCUCACAUAUCCUUUUCCUUUCUAAUCUCGAAGGUUUUCUGUAGGUAUUGGAAAAUCGAAUAAUUUAUUUUUGUAUCAGACGAUUGAAGAAAUGUUGCUAUCAACGUAUAUCAUCUAAAACUUUAUAAGACUUUAUUUUACUUAAUUAUGUUUUCGAAAUAUCCCCUCAUGCUCAAACUUGAUUUCUUUCGGAAAAUAUCUGUUCAGUUUUUAAAAUGCCCAAAGAUACUACUUGUAAUAUGGUAUGAUAUCAUCCGCGCACUUUGGACAAAACUCAGCACAAUUUUCUCGAAAGUCCUCAUACUAUUAAGAGUAUUAAACUCUUUAUAAGUAGUUUAUCCUUCUAUUUUUACUUUCCAUGAGGGGAUAUUAUCACACAUACGCAAUAAUUUAUUUUUUGAAAAAAUAAAACUGUAUAGGUGGUCUCAAAAUAAUAUAUAUAUCUAUAUAUGUAUAUAUAUAUAUAUAUAUGUAUAUAUAUAUAUAUAUGUAUANNNNNNNNNNNNNNNNNNNNNNNNNNNNNNNNNNNNNNNNNNNNNNNNNNNNNNNNNNNNNNNNNNNNNNNNNNNNNNNNNNNNNNNNNNNNNNNNNNNNNNNNNNNNNNNNNNNNNNNNNNNNNNNNNNNNNNNNNNNNNNNNNNNNNNNNNNNNNNNNNNNNNNNNNNNNNNNNNNNNNNNNNNNNNNNNNNNUAUAUAUAUAUAUAUAUGUAUAUAUAUAUAUGUAUAUAUAUAUAUGUGUGUGUGUGUGUGUGUUAGAUACAUUAAUUAUACAGUUUUAUACACUUUUUAAGCUACUAAAUGUAAAUAGCUUCUGGUAAGGACUAAAAGUGAUAAUAUCCCAUAUUUUUUCCCUUGAGCAAAGUUUCACAUGACCUAUCACAUUUUAUAUGCGUCUUCAAAGCUACGAGUAAAGGACGUACACCAGCUUGUAGACAAGCAAAAGCAAUAAGUCAGACCCCACACUACACUCCACCAUUUGUAUACUCGUCCCACCAAAUUAAUUUCUUUGAUAUUAAUUGUUGAGUUAAAAUACCCCAAAGCUACUCCUAUUAUUGUGUGAUAUUGUUCAUUUUGGGCUAAAUCCGUACGAUUUUUUCUAAAAACAUCAUAGACUAUUCAAAAUAUCAAAUUCCUUCUUUCUACUUUUCAUGUGUGACUUUAUGUACAUCACACCCAAGGGCAAAUUUUUAAGAUAAAUUAUGAUACACAUGAAUUUAUGGUCUUUCCGCUAUAUUAGGCAUAAAUGUAUGUAUUUUUUAGAAUUAAUCUAAUGUUAUGCUCUAUAAAGACUGAAUGAUGUAUUUGGUUAAAUAUUGGAAUUUUUUACGUUGAAGAACAGGGUUCAAGGGUUCAAUUAUCACUUAAUACAUGUUUUUCUAUUUUUGCUGGAGCACCCAUCUUUUAAAAUUUUUAGAUCUGCCUUGCACACAACCAAGAUUGUCCUUGUUGAUUUUUCUUAUGGAAAAAGUAGGUGAAAAUUCUUUUGUAAUUAGAUGGCCGUGGUAAGUUCAACAAGGACAUUUUUUUUCCAAGGAAAAUGUCCAUGUUAAUUUUCUAAUGGACCACGUAAAAAUUGUUUUUGAUAAUGAGAUGGCGGUGGACAUUGACAGAUAACCUAAUAGAAAUAUUAAUUAGCGGGAUAUCUCACGUUAAAAUUAAUUGAAAUAAACUAUUUUAGGAUGUCUUAACAUAAAACCAUAAUUCAAAUGGUUGUGCAGCUUUGAACUUCUGAAGUUGUCAUUUGACAAAAUUUAGCUGACGAAAUAAACUGUUAACUUUAACUUUAGUCACAUUUGCUGCUUUCAAGACUGUCAAUAUAUAUAUAUGUAUUCUCACACCAAAAUCAUCCGAUCCUUCAAAUCAACUGAUAACUUCUCUGCAAAGAAUUAUGUACCGCUAUUUGGUCAAUAUUUCUAGAUCCAUUAUUGCGUAAUACGGGCCCUUUCUCUGAUAUUUUUACCACCCCCUAAAAGUCAUCCUAUGAUAAUCUGGAAAGAUUAAUUAGUGGUGGUAUUGGGAAUAUUUCCUUUAUAGGUUAGAGUGAUAGUUUCAUACCCAUUCUUUUUAAUGCAUGUCGUAAUUACCAAAAAAAAAAGAUAAUUUCAUACCCCACCAAAUAACUUGACAAGUAUACACAAAAUUUCUAUGCACUAGGCAUUUCUCUGAACCAAUUUUGCUUCAAGAAAACAAAGAUCAUUGAAUAAAUUGUAAUUACACAUAAUUAAUUGCAAGCAUUGUGUUAUAUUGCAGGACCUUGAUUUCGUCAAGUUCCAAUGUAACCCUAAGGAAGAUUUUCUUUUAGAAAGUUUGAUAGACUUAGAGGGUGUUUGGAUUGAUUUAUUUUGCGACUUUUGGCUUUUAAUCAUUUUUUAGUUUAUGUGGUGUUUGACGAUGAUAAAAAGUGUUUUAAAGCAUUACUUUUAAACAUAAAAGUACAAAAAUAAGUCGAAGGCCAAGAGUUGGGUAUUACCAUCUUAUGACUUUUGGCUUUUAGCUUAGAAGCUAUUCCCCCGUUUCAGAUUAGAUGAGAUACUUUCCUUUUUAGUCUGUUCCAAAACAAAUAAUAUAUUUCUAAAUUUGAAAAUAAUUCAACUUUAAACUCUUCAUUUACCCAUUUACCCUUAACGAGAAGUUUUUAUAGUUACACAAAUAUCAUGACCCCAAAAAUUUUUUACCGCUUAAACUCUUAAGAUCACAAGUUUCAAAAGUCUUAUUCUUUUUUUUUAAACUCCGUGGCCAGUCAAAACUAACUCAUCCAAUAUGAAACAGAGAGAGUACUUUUUAUGAGCCAAUCCAAACAACCUCUUAGUAUUUCAAGAUUCAGGUAAUUAAAUCAAAGAUUUAGCAUAAUCCAAGAUUUACAAAGAAAUCAAAGAGGUGAAUAAAUUAACCAGGCCAAUGACAAUGCAACUUGCAGUUUCUCUGAAGGGCAUCAAGGAAUCACAUUGUCUGCCAAUUACAUCAAACGUACACCUCUCAGUGAAGUGACAGCACUAGCAAUCAAUUUAAUAGAUACAUAUAUAUAAACUUCAUCAAUAAAAACAUUUUAAAAGGCUAUCAAAGUAAUAUAUACAUGUAUAAUUCACCGGUAAAAACACUUUUAAAAAGGCUUAAUUCAAUUUGCAUGAGCUCAGUGCAUAUGAAAACCCUCAACGAAAGAAGUAUCUGUAAACAGAAUACUUCGUGUAUAAAACAAACAUUUCAAUCUCAGGCAGUAAAGUUGCAAAAGUUGGAAAGCUAAAAAGUAAAUUAAACAAGAAAAAGCAGAUCCACGAGAAAAUGCACAAUCUCCCAAAUGAAAGAGUUACGUUUUACCUCUUAGUAGACCCAUCCAGCAAGAAUCUGUAUUAGGUCUUAAUUUGAACACUGAAUGAGUAAAGCAAAAGAAAAUAUUUACUCGUAAAUAAGUUUAUCAACUUUAGAUCAACCAUAUAUGCUAGCUGAUUAUAUAUGGAAAAUGAUCAGCAGAUUUUGAAAAUAGGAGGCUAUAUAUAUAUAUAUAUAUAUAUUAUUUGUGAAAGAGAGGAGUGAUGAUUUAGAAGCUUGAAUUGCUUAUU
RNAcentral lists this long non-coding RNA (6673 nucleotides) under Nicotiana benthamiana. Its description in RNAcentral is "long non-coding RNA (NBEN_LNC036120)". Lineage: Eukaryota; Viridiplantae; Streptophyta; Magnoliopsida; Solanales; Solanaceae. The record is from RNAcentral.